This 24-nucleotide microRNA is filed under the name Ananas comosus (pineapple). RNAcentral's name for it is "microRNA s0035_c027". The record is from RNAcentral. Lineage: Eukaryota; Viridiplantae; Streptophyta; Magnoliopsida; Poales; Bromeliaceae.
CUAAUCCCACCUAACCCCACCAAA